RNAcentral lists this ribosomal RNA (279 nucleotides) under uncultured bacterium. RNAcentral's name for it is "partial 16S ribosomal RNA". It matches the Rfam family "Archaeal small subunit ribosomal RNA", at positions 456 to 735 of the family's 1478-position model. The record is from RNAcentral.
UGCCAGCAGCCGCGGUAAUACCGGCGCCUCAAGUGGUAGUCGCUUUUAUUGGGCCUAAAACGUCCGUAGCCGGUCUGAUACAUUCGUGGGUAAAUCAACCAGCUCAACUGGUUGAACUCUGCGAGGACGGUCAGACUUGGGACCGGGAGAGGUGUGGGGUACGCUCAGGGUAGGGGUAAAAUCCUGUCAUCCUGAGCGGACCACCUGUUGCGAAGGCGCCACACUAGAACGGAUCCGACGGUCAGGGACGAAGCCUAGGGGCACGAACCGGAUUAGAUA